AAUGAACGCUGGCGGCAGGCCUAACACAUGCAAGUCGAACGGAUCCUUCGGGAUUAGUGGCGGACGGGUGAGUAACGCGUGGGAACAUAACCAAAGGUACGGAAUCGCCUCGGGAAACUGGGAGUAAUAACGUAUGUGCCCGAAAGAGGAAAGAUUUAUCGCCUUUGGAUUGGCCCGCGUUGGAUUAGGUAGUUGGUGGGGUAAUGGCCUACCAAGCCGACGAGCCAUAGCUGGCUUAAGAGGAUGAACAGCCACACUGGGACUGAGACACGGCCCAGACUCCUACGGGAGGCAGCAGUGGGGAAUCUUAGACAAUGGGGGAAACCCUGAUCUAGCCAUGCCGCGUGAUCGAUGAAGGCCUUAGGGUUGUAAAGAUCUUUCAGGUGGGAAGAUAAUGACUGUACCACCAGAAGAAGCCCCGGCUAACUCCGUGCCAGCAGCCGCCGUAA
This 449-nucleotide ribosomal RNA is filed under the name uncultured bacterium. RNAcentral's name for it is "partial 16S ribosomal RNA". It matches the Rfam family "Bacterial small subunit ribosomal RNA", at positions 29 to 523 of the family's 1533-position model. The record is from RNAcentral.